Long non-coding RNA from Oxyura jamaicensis (ruddy duck), 978 nucleotides. RefSeq lists it as uncharacterized. The transcript is spliced from 4 exons. Lineage: Eukaryota; Metazoa; Chordata; Aves; Anseriformes; Anatidae. The record is from RefSeq and is a predicted model, not a curated record.
GAGGUCUUACUGUACUCAUCCCACUCUGGUUCCUGCAUCAUUGCACAUUGCAGUGUGUGCUGUGCCUACACACUGCACUCCUCUAAGAUCUGCCCUUACUCUUUCUGCCUCUUUUUCAACAAACAGUGAAAUAAAAUCAUGAGCACAGCCCAAACUGGAUGGUGUUGACUAGCUUCUAAGACCGAUUCUGAAAGGAAGUAGGAGCAGGCACAAUGAGACCAGUGUGACCCCUUCAGAGUGACAGAAGAUCAGAGGACAGACAUCAGUUUUCUUGUGUUUCAUUCCAGUGCUCUGCUAACCCAGGGAGUCAAUAGCAAACCCACAGAUCUUUGAUUCAGGAGCUAAAUGAUGAAGUGUAAAAUUACAGUAUCUUCAUUCUUGCUGAAGAGCAUCUCACUGAAUUAGGCUGUUCCUGAGGAAGAAGCUGGUUGGUAUGUGAGAUGAAUAAUUCUGACGUGUCUUCCCUCCAAGAUCUAAAUUUCUGAAACAUCUGUCUUGGCUUUUACCUGUCUGCCAUACUAUGGGUGAAGCUAGAUGGAGUUAGGGAGGAAAUGUUUGUUUGGAGGAGAUGGCUUUGAGGAUAAGAAGAAGCAUCAGCAAACUCCCAUCUAGAGCAGAUUAGAUCGUUUAAGUAGUCUGGAAGGGGAGAUAGUUCUGCACUUGGACCACUGAAGGUUUACGAGAAGGAGGUGGCUUUUGCUAUUCACUGUAGAGAUUGCUCCUGUGGUAAGGUCUAGAUUACCAGGUUAGUUGGGAAAUAUCAAAACAGGAAGUUGCCCCCAAAUCAAUCUUGGCUAGGAGUGAUAUUAAAAUAAGCAGCUGACCUACUCUGCUUGGAUUUGUUCAGAAAAAUUAAGCUGUACUUCAAAACCUAAGAAGAGAAGAUACAUAUUAAAAGUAUAUUUUGCUUUUCUAGCACAUUAGCCUGAUAACUAAUGGUAAAACUGGCUAAACUCUGUUAAAAUGACAACAAAAAAA